GCCGAAGUGGCGGAAUUGGUAGACGCGCUGGACUCAAAAUCCAGUGAUGGCAACAUCGUGCGGGUUCGAUUCCCGCCUUCGGUACCA
Molecule: transfer RNA, 87 nt
Filed under: Lewinella sp.
Lineage: Bacteria; Pseudomonadati; Bacteroidota; Saprospiria; Saprospirales; Lewinellaceae
Also listed under: 2 other names
Description: tRNA-Leu
Rfam family: tRNA
About the family: Transfer RNA (tRNA) molecules are approximately 80 nucleotides in length.
Source: RNAcentral